Molecule: long non-coding RNA, 4004 nt
Filed under: Vigna radiata
Lineage: Eukaryota; Viridiplantae; Streptophyta; Magnoliopsida; Fabales; Fabaceae
Description: long non-coding RNA (VRAD_LNC007565)
Source: RNAcentral
GGUAAUCAUUAGUUGAAAGUCUGAUGAGAAGAAUUUUUGGAAUUGACAGGAAAGGGUGGAAGAGAAAACAAAUUCAACAACUAUUUUUGUAGCAAAAUUCAAAACCUAAGAAAUGAGGAAUUCACUCCUAAUACACCAAGGUGUAAUUAUUGUGGAACCAUAAAACUUUUAAGAGUCAAUUAAAGAAAACGGCUGGAGUAAGGUCAUGUAAAAGGAAAUUGAUAUUUUUGAAAAGAGCAACACAUGGGAGUUGUUAAGUAUCAAAAAACUAUUGGUGUGAAAUGAUUAAAUAAAGUAAAAUAUAACCUAGAUGAAAGAAGAGGUUUAUGUUGAGCAACCUCAAGGCUUUGGAUUGAAGGCCAAGAAGAGAAGAUUUAUAAACUAAAUAAAGUUUUUUAAGGACUGAAACAAGCUCCUGGAGCAAACAGCAUUGACAUUUAUUUCAUAGUGAAAGGCUUUAAAAUGCCUUUAAAUGUAAUCAAUAAUAAAAGAGAGAGAAAAUAGUGAUUCAGUCCCAAAUUAUCUUGUGGAGUUCAGGAUUUUCUGCAAAGUUAGAUAGAAAGUGAGUUCCUUGAGCAUUGGGCAUCAACGUCACCUCUGAAAUACCACCAACAAAAUGCCCCAUAUGCUUUCAUAUGCACGAUCACCACCAUCUACAGAUUGAAAUAUUCUUAUGAGUUUGCUAAUAUAAUGAAUGAGACAUUAAAGUCAAUCAAUGUACGCUAGCUAAAUCCGAAUUAGAAAAUAGCAUUUAUUUUCUUUAGCAUUGUUACGACUAAAACCCACAAGGAAAAAUCAACCCAAAAGAGUAGCCGAGUCAACAAUUUCUAUCAGUAUGUAAGCUUAAUGAUAUUUAUCAUAUGUUACUGUUCUGAACUCUUUUGUGCAACCAUGACAGCCGUGCCUCAGAUUUUGGUCUGAUGAAGAUAGACAACAAAGGAAGGAUCCUUUCAUUUAGUGAAAAGCCUAAAGGAGAAGAGUUGAAAGCAAUGGUACCCUUUAUGUUCAUUAUACUAAUAACACUCCCGAAAAGUUUCAACAGUUAGAACCACUGCUAAUACGUACUGCCUUAUAAUUUAGCAAGUAGAUACAACCGUUUUGGGCCUUUCGAAGGAUGAGGCUCAAAAGAAACCAUACAUUGCUUCCAUGGGAGUGUACGUCUUCAAGAAGGAAAUCCUUCUUAAUCUACUAAGGUACUGACUAAUAUCUGGCUAAAUGUUAGGCUUUUUCCUGUGGUUCACUUCAUCUAUUAAUAUAUUCUACAAAAGUACAGAAAUAUGCUCUGAGAAUAAAUUCAUCUUGUUGCAAAGCUUGAUUGUUAAGUGCUAGAAAUUACUUUAAUUUAGAUGGCGCUUUCCUACUGCAAACGACUUUGGAUCAGAGGUUAUUCCUGCCUCAGCUAGAGAAUAUUAUAUGAAGGUAUGACUGAAAAAAUCAUUGCAUUGGAAUCUUUUCUGUUUAUUAUUUACCUAUGGUGUGACAAUCUCUGUGUGCAGGCUUAUCUCUUCAAUGAUUAUUGGGAAGACAUAGGGACCAUCAGAUCAUUCUUUGAGGCAAAUCUUGCCCUCACUGAGCAUGUGAGUGUCAAAUCACCUUGUUGAGCUUCAAUGACUUGAAUGUGUUGAGUUCAUUACUUAUUAGUGGGAUAUGCUAGAGGUGAACAUAAGAAAUUAAUUGAACUGUUAAAUUAAAAAACUUAACUGCAAACAUUUUUUCAUUUCAUCCUUUCAAAUUAAUUUCAUAGAAUUAUUUUCCUUGUUCAAUGAUUGAGAUCCAAAAUCUUUCUUGCCCAUAAAAGCUUACUUCUGUAAUUUUUCAGCCACCCAGGUUUAGCUUUUACGAUGCAGCAAAACCAAUGUAUACAUCCAGGAGAAACUUACCACCAACAAAGAUUGACAAUAGCAAGGUCAGUUCUUCAAAAUUUCUCGUGAGGAAUUUUGUUGGUAAUUCAAACCAGUCGUACCAAAGCCUUACUGCAAGGAGAAGAGUGAACUUAAUUUGUUAGGCAUACAGCAAAAACAAUUUAUUUAACAUACUGUUUCAUGCCUAUAUUAUCACAUGCAGAAUGCUGUACCUACAAAUAUGGAGGAAUUAAUGUGUUUAGAUCUUCAACAAUUUUUUUACUUACCUGUUGUAUCCCCAUUGCACUUCAGAAAACCUCCUCUUUUCCGCUUUUGAAUCUCAACCACAUCGUUGUUAUUUGUCCUUUCGUGCAGAUUGUUGAUUCAAUCAUAUCACAUGGAAGCUUCUUGAAUAAUUCCUUUAUAGAGCAUAGUGUUGUUGGAAUCAGAUCCAGAAUAAACUCAAAUGUUCAUCUAAAGGUUUGGUGCACCAAUUCGACCAUCUAACCAUAUCUUUUUAAAAAAUUAUAGAAGAUGACGAUGCAUAUUGUUAUAAACAUUGCUAUAUAUACAUACUUUGUUCCUAUUGUGCAUCAAGUCUCAAAUUUAUAGGUUAACAUUCAAUUUUUUGGUUCCGCAGAAAUAUAAUAGUAUUUAUGGUAGAAUAUAAAUUUGGUAUUUUUCUUAGGUGUGCGACCAUCUAGUUCGAUAACUUCUGGUGCAUUACACUUCUUUGCAGGAUACGGUGAUGCUUGGUGCUGAUUUCUAUGAAACCGAUGCAGAAGUGGCAGAACUCUUAGCUGAAGGAAGGGUUCCGAUAGGAAUAGGAGAAAAUACCAAAAUCAAGUAUGUAUUAUAAUGCUCACUAUCUUAACCAUUACUUCCUCACGCUUUUUACUCACUUUUCACAUUUCUGUAGGAACUGUAUCAUUGACAAAAAUGCUAGAAUAGGAAAGAAUGUCGUAAUAGCAAAUUCAGAGGUAUGCUCUUGAAACUACUCUAAAUAUAUAUAGCAUUGCAAGAAGAUUAAGUGAUACACCUACCAAUUGAUAACCAACUUUAUUUGGGGUUAUGAUACUCCUAAAACCUUUUGUCAAUUCACUAAAUCACUGUAUAAGAACUAAUUAGCCUCGCUUGAAUUUUCUCUUACAACCCCCAAAAUAAGUGAGACAAACAUUUUCUUUUUAACAGAACACCAUGAAAAUUCACAAUUUAAACUAUAAAUAAAAUCAUUUAGAUACCACAAAUUUUUUAUAUGCUGAAAAGUGUACUAAAUCUGCCUUCAAUGACUUACAGGGCAUACAAGAGGCUGAUAGAUCUUCAGAAGGGUUUUACAUCCGUUCUGGGAUUACCAUUGUAUUGAAAAACUCAGUAAUUGAAGAUGGACUCGUCAUAUAAUAAAUUCGCCCGCGGUUUGUUUGCCCCGGUUUACAAAGAAUUUGAGGAUGGGAAUGUUUUAAUUUUUAUGAAUAAUAGUUUUGAAAAAAAAAACAUUUAAAAAUUAAAUAUCAAUGUGCUGUCGAAAUGAUAGAGAUAAAUUCACAUCUCAUAUCUGGACAACUUUUCUGAAAAUGUACUUAUAUAUAAUAAUUACAUACACAGUUGCGCUGAACUUUUCUAGAUCGGGCUCUUUAAUGCGGAAAGUCGUUGAUUUUUUUUGGAAUAAGAGUCGAAGUAUGAAAAUUAAUGAAAUGAGUUUAAUGAUGAUGAGGAAUGAGUAUAGAAUUUAAAGGAUCACCUUUUCAGUGGUAGUUUGCAUUGUAGCCAUGUUAGAAGCAGCAAUUCGUGAUAGUCAGUAUUCCUUAACACAACAAAUAGACAAGGGCGGCAACGAGACAUGGAGCGGCGAUGGCAAGGGAACAGCGACGACGACGACAAGGAGGUAACGACAGCAAGGAUAACGAUUGCACGGGGCAUUUUAAUCUUUCAACCACCCCCGAUGGAGAUAUACAGUGAAAGUAUGGGGAUGCGAAUAAAAAAUGUCUAGAACCAUGCGCCUAUUUAGAUGCUUAUCUUUCACAAGUCCAAUUCAUCUUUCAAUGCAGAUGAAUCAGCUCAAGAGGAAAGGACUACUACUAGCUAAAUUGAUAAUUGAAAAAUUACUCAAAAAUUUGAUAAAUCUUAUUUAGGUAGCCUUAGGGAAAAAGUUCAUUUCAAUUUCCA